Psammomys obesus (fat sand rat) is the source of this 1000-nucleotide long non-coding RNA. RefSeq lists it as uncharacterized. The transcript has 4 exons. NCBI's taxonomy places the organism in Eukaryota, Metazoa, Chordata, Mammalia, Rodentia, Muridae. The record is from RefSeq and is a predicted model, not a curated record.
GCUGCCUCUCUCCAUGGUGCGCCCCUCCCCAACGGCAGCCUGCUUUUCCACUCCCCCAUCAGUUUCCUAUCCAUCUCAGACUGCCCCACGUGCAAGAGCUGAAAGGGCAACAAGUGACGACUGCCUGCCAUUAGGUAGGGCUGUGGGCUGAUGAGGGGCUUCCCGAGGGAGACAUGUCCAUGCUCGCAGUUACCAGGCAGGACACAGGGCUCUGCACGUACCUGCCUGUGGCCAGCUGAGAAGGCUUGGAAGGAGAAAGCUUUGCUUCUAACCACCCAUCUAAGAAACAGCGGCAUUUCUGUCACGGACAUCCACAGAUCCUUAGCGGAGGCUUGUUUGACGUCAGACAUCAGAUGUAGCCUUUUUAUGGCACUUCAGAAAAGACACUUGGGUCUCACGAGCUGCACAAUUGAAACUUUACAGCUUCUGUUCACGAUGUGAACUCUCGCCUACCACUCCAGUGUCAUGCCUGCCUGCUGCCAUAAUCCCCACCAUGGUUAUCAUGAAUUCUAAAAAACCUGCCAACUCCUGGAGAUGCUUCCCAGGACCUGUCCAAGCAUAGCUUGGUGGUACUUCGAUUCACACAAUCCUGGACUCACUCGAUAGGAAGAGGAAAACAUCAGCCAGGAUAGGUCAUCCUGGCUUCCUUCACUCCCUGCUUUUCUUCUCAGCAAACCUGCCAGGAACAUGCAUGCCAGAAUCAGCAGACCUCACCCAAGCGCUGGCCGAGUCUUUGCCAUUGAUGUCAUCUUAGGCAAGAUGCCUGAGCCCCUGACUCUCGAAGUGUGGGUUUCCUCACUGGUAAAAUGACAAAAACAGUACCCCUCCAACCCCCACCCCGACCCCAAACAGCCACUGUUCCUUCCUUUUCCAAGCCAGGCAGUUCUAAUAGCCAUACAGAGCUUGAUGAACAAAAGACUCUGAGCAUCUCCGCUGUGGCUAGGUUCAGUCAUGAGUUCAGUGUCUGGCCAAUGAGAUGUAAGCAAAGUGAUUGCUUCAG